This 240-nucleotide unclassified non-coding RNA is filed under the name soil metagenome. RNAcentral describes it as "partial contains 5.8S ribosomal RNA, internal transcribed spacer 2, and large subunit ribosomal RNA". The record is from RNAcentral.
AACAUCGCGCACCUGCGGGAACCUGCGGAGGGAUCAUUACAGAGUUGCAAAACCCCCUAAACCAUUGUGAACGUUACCUAAACCGUUGCUUCGGCGGGCGGCCCGGGUCCUUCCCGGCGCCCCUCGGCCCUCGCGGGCGCCCGCCGGAGGUAAACCAAACUAUUGCAUUGUAUGGCCUCUCUGAGUCUUCUGUACUGAAUAAGUCAAAACUUUCAGCAACGGAUCUCAGAUCGGAAGAGC